GAUGAACGCUGGCGGCGUGCCUAACACAUGCAAGUCGAACGAAGCACCUUACCUUAUUCUUCGGAUGAAAGUUUGGUGACUGAGUGGCGGACGGGUGAGUAACGCGUUGGUAACCUGCCCUGUACAGGGGGAUAACAGCUGGAAACGGCUGCUAAUACCGCAUAAGCGCACGUGGAGACAUCUCCUUGUGUGAGAAAGUACGGCGGUACAGGUGGGGCCGGCGGGUGAGUAGCUGGUGGGCAGGGUGACGGCCUACCAAGGCAACGAGCAGUAGUCGGUCUGAGAGGGUGACCGGCGAAAUUGGAACCGAGACACGGUCCAAACUCCUACGGGAGGCAGCAGUGGGGCAUAUUGCACGAUGGGGGGAAGCCGGAUGGAGCAGCGCCGCGUGAGUGAAGAAGUAUUGCGGUAUGUAAAGCUCUAUGAGCAGGGAAGAUAAUGACGGUACCUGAAGAAGAAGCACCGGCUAACUACGUG
Molecule: ribosomal RNA, 477 nt
Filed under: uncultured bacterium
Lineage: Bacteria
Description: partial 16S ribosomal RNA
Rfam family: Bacterial small subunit ribosomal RNA
Source: RNAcentral